Molecule: long non-coding RNA, 515 nt
Organism: Ctenopharyngodon idella (grass carp)
Lineage: Eukaryota; Metazoa; Chordata; Actinopteri; Cypriniformes; Xenocyprididae
Exons: 2
Source: RefSeq, a predicted model, not a curated record
UUAAAAUCCUUGAUUGGAGACGUAUACGGAAGUCAAACGCACGAUUCAUUAAAAUUGAGCAUUUCAGAUCAAUAACACUUACUUACAUUUUAUAAAUAACCAAGUGCUAAUAGACCUAUUUUAAAUGCAUAUUGCAUUUAAAAUGCAACUCUGCGUUUAAAUAUCUUAUUCUUGUGAAUUUGAAAGAAAAACUGGUUUUACUGAAAUGUAAAAGUUUCCGUUAAUAACAGAGCUGCGGAAGUUAGUAUAUAAACCGAUGGAGAAGCAGGAUGAUGUGGAGGUGGUUCGUGAGAAGGAGUCGGAUGCAGCGGAGGCGAUCGCGGAGCCUCAGUCUCUCUCUUUCCCAGAGGUGUUCCGCAUGAUUCAAGCAGGGGAGGAGGUUCCUGGACUCCAAAAGCUGGACAUCAAACCUUGUCAUGAUCAGCCCACGGUUUCUCAGAUGCCCAGAAAGUCAAAACCAUGGGAAAAAUGACUUGUGUUUCCUAAUAAUAAAAUAUGGACUGGUUUACAACAUA